UCCUGCCUUUACCUUUAUGAUUGGGUUUUUCUAUAUUUGUUAUUACUCUAUUUCCCCCCCAUUUCCAGCCCUGAAGCUUUUAUAAAUGCUUUUACAAUGCUGUCUUUGAAAGCUGUAGGGUUCACUUUGGGGACACAUUUCCUAUAAAAAUGUUAGCCAUGCGGAUUGGGGUAGCGUGAAGAUGAUGUUACAAUUCAGCGUUCCAGCAGACCCUUGAGUUUCCGAAUCCUCAUUUAACCGAGCCUCCUGUUUUCCCCAUGGGGUCUCAGAAGGAGUUGGAACAAACCCAGAGGGAAAAUCAAGCAAAACUCUGCUUUACUUUGGAUGGGCUGGGUAAGAGAUCACAGUAGCCUCAGACCCCGUGUUUCGUGACUUGCCGGGCCAUGCAGAGGACACCACUUUGUUUUCUGCUCUAGGACGGUCUGAGCAUUUCCAGAUCAAAUCAGGCACUAGGGAUCAUUCCUAUAUAUUUCCCUUUGAUGCCCAUAUCUUACUGUCAGCAGGCAUCCAUUUGACGGCACAGAAGACGGAUGUGACAGGACCCUGGCUCACAAAGAGCUGCUCAGGCCCAGGCUCUGCAGCAGGGCUGUGCCCAAAGCCCCAGCUCCUCCCCGUUGUCCACAUGGCUGGGCCCUGCAUGGGAGGAAAGAGGGGGCAUGAAGACAAACAGCGAGGAAAUUGGGGUUUCGGAGGGCAGGCCUGCCCAGAAUGCAUUCCUAUAAAUUCUGAAGGAAGAGGGUGGGAGAGACCCACCAUUCUGCUUUACAUAUGCAAGGAAUACGUGAGGAGCCUGAAUUCCUAGGAAAGGUGAGACAUCGGGGCAGAUACCGGCCCAUUCGCCAUGCUCCUUUCUCGCUGUGGGUGAAGAGAAGACGGUGAUGGACACUCUGGCUUCCGCUGCAGGAGCUCCACAGCCAGGGAACCCCUCUGCUCCCUUCGCCGUGUGAAAUCGCAUCUAGCUCCUCCACCGCAGAGGCACCGGGGCAGCACUGGAAACACAGCCCGAGGGUAACUCAAAAACCCAGGGCCGCUUUCAUAUACGCCUGAGGUUUACAACCACCCUGUAAAAUGCAGGGGGUGGCUCCUUCCACUGAAGUUACUUAUUCCUACAGAUGAGUCAAAACGGCACUGAAACAACAUAUCUUCCCUUCUUUCGUUCCCCUGAAAAAAAUCCCAAACCAUGGUCCUUUUCCCACUUACUCUGCUUAUCCUCCCAAGCCAGGAGCUGAAAUGGCCCUUUUUUCAAGCCUGAUUUGCUUAAUCUUCAAUUUUAGCCCAUGGAGUCAUUCAUGGGAGCUGAUGCAACCACAUCAACACCCCCUGAGCCGGGGUUUUUCAACCACAGCACCCCAACAUUCUUUGUGUCUCCCCAGUUCUAGGAGCAGUCAGUGCAGAUAGGAGCAGCACAGCAAUGACACCACACCCACAAAACCGGGCAAACAUAAUGAAUAAGAGAACUAAAAGUGAACGCGGCAGCAGCUUUACAUCUCAGUGCCAAUUUGAGAUUGGUAUUGCCAUCGAGAGUCAGCAGCCUCGCCCGGACGCUCCGCCGUGCCCACUGUGCUAUGAAACCGCCUGAGUCAUCGCUUUCCUCCCUGCCAUUUUACGUUGAUCCCACCCUGUGCCUCCCGAGCUCCCUUCCUUUCGCCUCAGACCUUUGGUUCAUUCAGUUGUGAUCUGUCUUUCUCCUCUCAACCUCUUCAUUUCUAACAACUUCUCGUCAGCACUGUGAUGGUUAACACUGAGUGUCAACUGGAUUGGAUUGAAGGAUGCAAAGUACUGUUCCCGGGUGUGUCUUUGAGCGUGUCGCCAAAGGAGAUUCACAUUUGAGCAGUGGGCUGAGAGAGGCAGACCCACCCUCAAUCUGGGUGGGCACCAUCUGAUCAGCUGCCAGCAUGGUCAGAAUUAAAGCAGGCAGAAGAACGUGAACAAACUAGACUGGCUGAGCCUCUGACCCUGCGUCUUUCUCCCGCGCUGGAUGCUUCCUGCCCUCAAACAUCGGACUCCAAGUUCUUCAGCUUUGGGGCCCAAACUGGCUCCCUUGCUCCUCAGCUUGCAGAUGGCCUACUGUGGGGCCUCACCUUGUGAUUGUAUGUGUCAGUUCUCUUAAUAAUCACCCCUUUAUGUAUACAUCUACCCUAUUAGUUCUGUCCCUCUAGAGAACCCUGACUAAUACAGACACUAAGCGUGUUCAAGCGCAUCCAUCCAUAAGAACACCUCCCCUGAUCUUACCUCUCUUCUUAGUUACCACUCAACACACCACUCUCCUCCAUACCAUAGGAAGUUUGCGUAGGUUUUCAGCAUCCACUGAUUCUCUCCUCCCCCUCCUUCCUUUCGUCUUAACCACACUAUUUCACUGAGACUACUCCUGACAGGUUCAGCACUUACUUUCCAACCCCCAAAUCCAGUCGGUCCUGUGCAGGACCCAUUGCUAUAAUCACUCCCAGGUUUCCAGUUAAUCAAUGUUUGUUGAGUGUUUAUUAUGUGCCAGCCACUGUUCUGUGUUCUGAGGGUGCAGUGAGCAACACAGACAAAAACGUUGAUCUCAUUGAGGGAUGCUGGAUUAAAAACCGGAGAACAGGGGCAGAUUUGUUAACGACAAGCAUCA
RNAcentral lists this long non-coding RNA (2608 nucleotides) under Homo sapiens (human). RNAcentral describes it as "HSALNT0117068". Lineage: Eukaryota; Metazoa; Chordata; Mammalia; Primates; Hominidae. The record is from RNAcentral.